UUAUCACGGGAGACACACGGCGGGUGCUAACGUCCGUCGUGAAGAGGGAAACAACCCAGACCGCCAGCUAAGGUCCCAAAGUCAUGGUUAAGUGGGAAACGAUGUGGGAAGGCCCAGACAGCCAGGAUGUUGGCUUAGAAGCAGCCAUCAUUUAAAGAAAGCGUAAUAGCUCACUGGUCGAGUCGGCCUGCGCGGAAGAUGUAACGGGGCUAAACCAUGCACCGAAGCUGCGGCAGCGAACGUAUCACUUAAAGCGAUUCAGCGGGUUACGAUUGACGGAGCGAAGCGACGUCAAAGCGUAUACAAAGUCGAGUCGGUUUAAGGAUACGUUCGUUGGGUAGGGGAGCGUUCUGUAAGCCCGUGAAGGUGGCCUGUGAGGGUUGCUGGAGGUAUCAGAAGUGCGAAUGCUGACAUAAGUAACGAUAAAGCGGGUGAAAAGCCCGCUCGCCGGAAGACCAAGGGUUCCUGUCCAACGUUAAUCGGGGCAGGGUGAGUCGACCCCUAAGGCGAGGCCGAAAGGCGUAGUCGAUGGGAAACGGGUUAAUAUUCCCGUACUUGGUGUUACUGCGAAGGGGGGACGGAGAAGGCUAUGUUGGCCGGGCGACGGUUGUCCCGGUUUAAGCGUGUAGGUGUGUGUUCCAGGUAAAUCCGGUUCACUUUAACACUGAGGCGUGACGACGAGGCACUACGGUGCUGAAGCAACAAAUGCCCUGCUUCCAGGAAAAGCCUCUAAGCAUCAGGUAACACGAAAUCGUACCCCAAACCGACACAGGUGGUCAGGUAGAGAAUACCAAGGCGCUUGAGAGAACUCGGGUGAAGGAACUAGGCAAAAUGGUGCCGUAACUUCGGGAGAAGGCACGCUGACACGUAGGUGAAGUGAUUUACUCAUGGAGCUGAAGUCAGUCGAAGAUACCAGCUGGCUGCAACUGUUUAUUAAAAACACAGCACUGUGCAAACACGAAAGUGGACGUAUACGGUGUGACGCCUGCCCGGUGCCGGAAGGUUAAUUGAUGGGGUCAGCGUAAGCGAAGCUCCUGAUCGAAGCCCCGGUAAACGGCGGCCGUAACUAUAACGGUCCUAAGGUAGCGAAAUUCCUUGUCGGGUAAGUUCCGACCUGCACGAAUGGCGUAAUGAUGGCCAGGCUGUCUCCACCCGAGACUCAGUGAAAUUGAACUCGCUGUGAAGAUGCAGUGUACCCGCGGCAAGACGGAAAGACCCCGUGAACCUUUACUAUAGCUUGACACUGAACAUUGAGCCUUGAUGUGUAGGAUAG
This 1273-nucleotide ribosomal RNA is filed under the name Salmonella enterica subsp. enterica serovar Typhimurium. RNAcentral describes it as "bacterial LSU rRNA". It matches the Rfam family "Bacterial large subunit ribosomal RNA", at positions 972 to 2146 of the family's 2925-position model. The record is from RNAcentral. Lineage: Bacteria; Pseudomonadati; Pseudomonadota; Gammaproteobacteria; Enterobacterales; Enterobacteriaceae.